GGGAAAGAAGCAAGGGGAGGUGCUUGGAGUUGGAAAUCAGGGUUGAGGAUUAAGAUUCAGUAAUAUAUCAGGUUAGGGAUUGGUGGAGUGAUUGGGCAAAAGUCCAGAGAUGAGUUGGCUUUAGUAUAAGGUCAGGCUUACAGCAUCAGAAGCAGAAAUCUAGGGGUUGCAUCGGUUUGGCGUUACACUUCGUGACUGGAAGUCAUGGUGUCAGGAGGUCACAGAGGCCACUUCUGUUUUAGAUUGGACUAGGCAGUUGCUGAGGUCCCUUCCAGAUUUGAGGUUUGGGGGAAACUCACUGCUUGUCAUUUCUACAGAUGGAAGGGGAUUCAAAGGCACAGGACCUCCAUGUUACCUCUCAGUCAUCGGCUGUUGCACCGAGCACGCCAUCUGAGCCGGGAGCUUUGCCUGCUGCUGAGCCUGGCUGGACUAGCCAUCGCCGGUCUGCUCUCUCUGUAUAAGUCAUGGAUUUGCUUUUACGUGCCAGUGGGUGCUCCCGGCAAUUUCACCGUCAUUGACAUCUACACCUCUCUCCUUGUUCCCUGCCCAGAGACCGAAUGCACACUGGAGCCUGAUCAGCCGCCCUGCCUGUUCCUGUUCCUGUGUGCCCUGUUCUACCUGCUUCAGGCCCAGAAUUUCCUGCAGGAGGGAAUGAGCUACACCCUGGAAAUAAACUACUACCUGACAUGGGUGGGCAUUUUCCUCUUCAUGAUGACAGGCUUCCUUUGCUUCCUCAACUAUCUGAAUUUCUGGUCUAUAAUUACACCUGGGGGGUGCUGGCUUUAGGCCAUUAAGAUCGAUUCUGGACCCUGCCCGCCUGACUUCUUACUCCCACCCCAACCCUUACACCUUCCAGCUGAGCCCAUCACCAUCCCUGGGCCACCCCUUCCUCCUCCUUGAUUCCUCAAUUUAAUAAACUCAUGUGUCCUCA
This 931-nucleotide long non-coding RNA is filed under the name Vombatus ursinus (common wombat). RNAcentral describes it as "lncRNA (ENSVURG00010006837.1)". Lineage: Eukaryota; Metazoa; Chordata; Mammalia; Diprotodontia; Vombatidae. The record is from RNAcentral.